ACGCAUGUCUAGAGUUUAAAAGAUGGGUUCUGCUAUCACUCUUGGGAUGGGACCUGCGGUGCAUUAGCUAGUUGGUAAGGUAACGGGCUUUACCAAGGCAAUGAUGCAUAGCCCGAGUUGAGAGACUGAUCGGGCCACAUUGGGGACUGAGAUACGGGCCCAAAACUCCUACGGGGAGGCAGCAGUAGGGAAUCUUCCACAAUGGACGCAAGUCUGAUGGAGCAACGCCGCGUGAGUGAAGAAGGGUUUCGGCUCGUAAAGCUCUGUUGGUAGUGAAGAAAGAUAGAGGUAGUAACUGGCCUUUAUUUGACGGUAAUUACUUAGAAGUCACGGCUAACUACGUGCCAGCAGCCGCGGUAAU
This 361-nucleotide ribosomal RNA is filed under the name uncultured Lactobacillus sp. RNAcentral's name for it is "bacterial SSU rRNA". It matches the Rfam family "Bacterial small subunit ribosomal RNA", at positions 186 to 524 of the family's 1533-position model. The record is from RNAcentral. Lineage: Bacteria; Bacillati; Bacillota; Bacilli; Lactobacillales; Lactobacillaceae.